UCUGGUGCAGCUCUGUUAGAUCAUUCAGCUGCUCCUCAAGUCUCUCAUACCUGAACAUACAACCCAAACCAACCCAGCAGAACCAAACAGAACAGAACAAAAUGCUCGAUUAGGACAUCUACCCACGGCCGGAUGUAAGUAAUAACUCACUGGACAACAGAAGACAUAUUAAUCCUGAGCUGAAAAUAGACCCUUAACACUGCGUCAUGUAGGAGUAGUCGCUCUGCAGCUGGCCCUUCAUGUCCUCGAUGGCGUCCUCCAUGUGCGUCUGGCUGGCCUUGAUCUCCUGCAGCCCCUCCAGAAGGGAGUCCCAUGAGCUGUGCAUGUGAUGGUGG
Xiphophorus couchianus (Monterrey platyfish) is the source of this 335-nucleotide long non-coding RNA. RefSeq lists it as uncharacterized. The transcript is spliced from 3 exons. The record is from RefSeq and is a predicted model, not a curated record. NCBI's taxonomy places the organism in Eukaryota, Metazoa, Chordata, Actinopteri, Cyprinodontiformes, Poeciliidae.